AACAGUAGGAGCGGACUUGUUCCGUGACUGCGUACCUUUUGUAUAAUGGGUCAGCGACUUACAUUCAGUGGCAAGGUUAACCGAAUAGGGAAGCCGUAGAGAAAUCGAGUCCGAAUAGGGCGAUCAGUCGCUGGGUGUAGACCCGAAACCAAGUGAUCUACUCAUGGCCAGGAUGAAGGUGCGGUAACACGCCCUGGAGGUCCGAACCCACUAAUGUUGAAAAAUUAGGGGAUGAGCUGUGGGUAGGGGUGAAAGGCUAAACAAACUUGGAAAUAGCUGGUUCUCUCCGAAAACUAUUUAGGUAGUGCCUCAAGUAUCACCAUCGGGGGUAGAGCACUGUUAUGGCUAGGGGGUCAUUGCGACUUACCAAACCAUUGCAAACUCCGAAUACCGAUGAGUGCGAGCUUGGGAGACAGACGUCGGGUGCUAACGUCCGGCGUCAAGAGGGAAACAACCCAGACCGCCAGCUAAGGUCCCAAAGAUUGGCUAAGUGGAAAACGAAGUGGGAAGGCUAAAACAGUCAGGAUGUUGGCUUAGAAGCAGCCAUCAUUUAAAGAAAGCGUAAUAGCUCACUGAUCGAGUCGUCCUGCGCGGAAGAUGUAACGGGGCUAAGCCAGUCACCGAAGCUGCGGAUAUCUAGCAAUAGAUAUGGUAGGAGAGCGUUCUGUAAGCCUGCGAAGGUGUCUUGUAAAGGAUGCUGGAGGUAUCAGAAGUGCGAAUGCUGACAUGAGUAGCGAUAAUGGGGGUGAAAAGCCUCCACGCCGUAAGCCCAAGGUUUCCUGUUCAACGUUCAUCGGAGCAGGGUGAGUCGGCCCCUAAGGCGAGGCAGAGAUGCGUAGCUGAUGGGAAGCAGGUUAAUAUUCCUGCACCGUCGUAUGAUGCGAUGGGGGGACGGAUCGCGGAAGGUUGUCCAACUGUUGGAAUAGUUGGUUUUUGGCUCAUAGAAGGCACUUAGGCAAAUCCGGGUGCGGAAUUCAAGGGGUUGAGACGAGUGCACUUGUGCACGAAGCAAUCGGAAGUGGUUCCAAGAAAAGCCUCUAAGCUUCAGUCAUACGAGACCGUACCGCAAACCGACACAGGUGGGCGAGAUGAGUAUUCUAAGGCGCUUGAGAGAACUCGGGAGAAGGAACUCGGCAAAUUGGUACCGUAACUUCGGGAAAAGGUACGCCCCGGUAGCUUGAAUGGUUUACUCCAUGAGGGUGAAAGGGUUGCAAUAAACUGGUGGCUGCGACUGUUUAAUAAAAACACAGCACUCUGCAAACACGAAAGUGGACGUAUAGGGUGUGACGCCUGCCCGGUGCUGGAAGAUUAAAUGAUGGGGUGCAAGCUCUUGAUUGAAGUCCCAGUAAACGGCGGCCGUAACUAUAACGGUCCUAAGGUAGCGAAAUUCCUUGUCGGGUAAGUUCCGACCUGCACGAAUGGCGUAACGAUGGCCACACUGUCUCCUCCCGAGACUCAGCGAAGUUGAAAUGUUUGUGAUGAUGCAAUCUACCCGCGGCUAGACGGAAAGACCCCAUGAACCUUUACUGUAGCUUUGCAUUGGACUUUGAACCAAUCUGUGUAGGAUAGGUGGGAGGCUUUGAAGCGGGGACGCUAGUUCUCGUGGAGCCAACCUUGAAAUACCACCCUGGUUUGUUUGAGGUUCUAACCUUGGUCCGUUAUCCGGAUCGGGGACAGUGCAUGGUAGGCAGUUUGACUGGGGCGGUCUCCUCCUAAAGUGUAACGGAGGAGUUCGAAGGUACGCUAGAUACGGUCGGACAUCGUGUUGAUAGUGCAAUGGCAUAAGCGUGCUUAACUGCGAGACUGACAAGUCGAGCAGGUACGAAAGUAGGACAUAGUGAUCCGGUGGUUCUGUAUGGAAGGGCCAUCGCUCAACGGAUAAAAGGUACUCUGGGGAUAACAGGCUGAUUCCUCCCAAGAGUUCAUAUCGACGGGGGAGUUUGGCACCUCGAUGUCGGCUCAUCACAUCCUGGGGCUGUAGCCGGUCCCAAGGGUAUGGCUGUUCGCCAUUUAAAGUGGUACGUGAGCUGGGUUUAAAACGUCGUGAGACAGUUUGGUCCCUAUCUGCCGUGGGCGUUGGAAAUUUGAAGGGGGCUGCUCCUAGUACGAGAGGACCGGAGUGGACGAACCUCUGGUGUACCGGUUGUCACGCCAGUGGCAUUGCCGGGUAGCUAAGUUCGGAAGAGAUAACCGCUGAAAGCAUCUAAGCGGGAAACUUGCCUUGAGAUGAGAUUUCCCAGAGCCUUGAGCUCUUUGAAGGGUCGUUCGAGACCAGGACGUUGAUAGGCUGGGUGUGGAAGUGCAGUAAUGCAUUAAGCUAACCAGUACUAAUUGCCCGUACGGCUUGUCC
This 2350-nucleotide ribosomal RNA is filed under the name Janthinobacterium sp. RA13. Its description in RNAcentral is "bacterial LSU rRNA". It matches the Rfam family "Bacterial large subunit ribosomal RNA", at positions 566 to 2925 of the family's 2925-position model. The record is from RNAcentral. Lineage: Bacteria; Pseudomonadati; Pseudomonadota; Betaproteobacteria; Burkholderiales; Oxalobacteraceae.